This 556-nucleotide ribosomal RNA is filed under the name Labeo bata (bata). Its description in RNAcentral is "partial 16S ribosomal RNA". It matches the Rfam family "Bacterial large subunit ribosomal RNA", at positions 1902 to 2608 of the family's 2925-position model. Lineage: Eukaryota; Metazoa; Chordata; Actinopteri; Cypriniformes; Cyprinidae. The record is from RNAcentral.
CAGCCUGCCAGUGACUACAAGUUCAACGGCCGCGGUAUUUUGACCGUGCAAAGGUAGCGCAAUCACUUGUCUUUUAAAUAGAGACCUGUAUGAAUGGCUAAACGAGGGCUUAACUGUCUCCCCUUUCCAGUCAGUGAAAUUGAUCUGCCCGUGCAGAAGCGGACAUAAUAAUACAAGACGAGAAGACCCUUUGGAGCUUAAGGUACAAAACUCAACCACGUCAAGCAACUUAAUAAAAAGCAAAAACUUUGUGGAAUAUGAGACUUUACCUUCGGUUGGGGCGACCACGGAGGAAAACAAAGCCUCCAAGUGGAUUGGGAAAACCUCCUAAAACCAAGAGAGACAUCUCUAAGCCACAGAACAUCUGACCAAACAUGAUCCGGCCACCUAAAGCCGAUCAACGAACCAAGUUACCCUAGGGAUAACAGCGCAAUCCUCUCCCAGAGUCCAUAUCGACGAGAGGGUUUACGACCUCGAUGUUGGAUCAGGACAUCCUAAUGGUGCAGCCGCUAUUAAGGGUUCGUUUGUUCAACGAUUAAAGUCCUACGUGAUCUGA